This 301-nucleotide ribosomal RNA is filed under the name uncultured bacterium. RNAcentral's name for it is "partial 16S ribosomal RNA". It matches the Rfam family "Bacterial small subunit ribosomal RNA", at positions 509 to 807 of the family's 1533-position model. The record is from RNAcentral.
CAGCAGCCGCGGGAAUACGUAGGGUGCAAGCGUUAAUCGGAAUUACUGGGCGUAAAGCGUGCGCAGGCGGUUUGUUAAGACAGAUGUGAAAUCCCCGGGCUCAACCUGGGAACUGCAUUUGUGACUGGCAAGCUAGAGUAUGGCAGAGGGGGGUGGAAUUCCGCGUGUGGCAGUGAAAUGCGUAGAUAUGCGGAGGAACACCGAUGGCGAAGGCAGCCCCCUGGGCCAACACUGACGCUCAUGCACGAAAGCGUGGGGAGCAAACAGGAUUAGAUACCCCAGUAGUCCCUGUCUCUUAUAC